RNAcentral lists this long non-coding RNA (3732 nucleotides) under Lactuca sativa (garden lettuce). Its description in RNAcentral is "long non-coding RNA (LSAT_LNC006189)". The record is from RNAcentral. Lineage: Eukaryota; Viridiplantae; Streptophyta; Magnoliopsida; Asterales; Asteraceae.
CUAGUGGAUUCGAGAGAUAUAAUGGAGUUGCAGCUAUAAAAAAGAAGAUCGUGAGGUGAUUAUAAGAAAAAACAGAAGCUUUAGCCCCUCCUCCUGCACCUCUUAUGAUGAUGAUGCAAUCAUCACAACCACCACAACCUAUGUAUUAUUCACAACUACCACCACCACCACAGGCCGCCACUCCGACUCCUUUUGCAUCACCGCCAGUAUUACCUCCCCCUGCAAAGCCAAAAUCCUCCCGUCCUCCAUGGCUGGAACAUUCUAUCGCGCCCCUGCACCAGGAGCUCCCGCUUUUGUUAAGGUAUUAACCUUUCCACCUGCAUUCAUAUACCAACAAAAAUACAUCCACGUAAAACAUCAACAUUGUUAAAAUUAAAAAAUAUAUAUAUUUAGAAAAAUUGAAUGAUGAUAAUAACAUUGUUCCUUUUAGAACUUCUUGUUAAACUGAACAAGACAUGACAGAUGGCAUUCAUUUGAACUGAUGUCAACUUUUUGUCGCAUAAAAAAAUGUGGGAUAAAGACUUGGUUAUUGGUAUGUUAUCUGUCGUAUAUUGAAAAUAGUCUUAUUGUUUCUUGAUUUGGAAGUAGAAUUGAUGUGAAGAUAUUUGGUGUAUUUUUAUUACCAGGUGGGAGACAAGGUUCAUAAAGGUCAAGUAAUAUGUAUUAUUGAAGCAAUGAAGUUGAUGAAUGAGGUUGAGGUAAUUCAGUCUCUUUGAUAAUUUGGAUAAUUUCUUACCACCCUAAAUCUUAAUUAUGACCUGCCAAAGAGCUAUUUAGUACAACAAGAUAAAAAUUGGCAUAGAUGAAUGAAUCUAUCUUAUUUUAACUAAUUAGAUAGCCAGCUAAUUAAGGUUUUGUAAGAACGCUUUUCCCCUCAUUGUCCAAGUGUUUUUGAUGUGUGUGUGAAUUAUUAUGUUAUUCUGUUAGACUAUCAAUCAGGAGCAGUAGUUGAUAUUAUUGUUGAUGAUGGGAAACCUGUUAGCCUGGAUAUGGUAUCUCUCUCUCUCUCUCUCUCUCUCUCUCUCUCUCUCUCACACACACACACACACAUACACACAACAAUUUACAUUUUAAAUUGAACCAAUUUACAGAAACACUGUUUCUUUGUUGUUUGCAGCCUUUACUUGUUAUUGAACCAUGAAGAGGAAGUGGAACAUUAUGAAGUUGAGAGAUGAAAGUCAUGUGUCAAGAUGGAAGUUAGACUUUGUGUUUCUUUUUUUGAGGAAAGGGCAUUGGUAAUUGUUACACAUUGGUUUUGUAAUGUAAGCCUAAAUUUUGAAAUAAUACAUUACUUAUAAGAAAAAGAUUAUUUUAUUUUAAGUAAUUGUGUUGUGUCUCUCACUUCUUCUACUUGGUUUAUAAAUGUCAGGCUUUUUUUUAAUCUUUAGCAUAUUAUGAACUAGUUUCAGUUUGUAAUUUGGGAGAAAUGCCAUUGUUUUUUGUUUUUCUAUCUGUUAUGUUUAUAAAGAAAUCAAAAGAGACAGGAUCAAAAAUGGUAAUUUUGGAAUCCCUCCAAGUUGUUUUAUAUCGUUUUAUUUUUCAAAAGUUUAGCUAAUUAAUUUAUUAAUGUGAUGAAAGAAGCUAUGCUUACCUGUUUCUAUUUUAACUUUUAACUAACAUUUUUAAUUUGCAUCUACUUGACCUUGCUUUUAGAUACAACAAAAGGACAUCAGACUAUCUUAAGUACAUAGUUUGAAUCUGUUUUCAAUGCUUUAUGGGAUUCAUUGAACACCUAUAAUAACACCAUUUAUUCUAGACUAGUGUUUCUAAAAAAAAGAAAGAAAACAUAACGAAUUUCAGUUUUAAUACAAACCAAAACAUGGAAUAAUGUUUCACAACAGUGACUGUCUAAAUACAGAAAAAAAAAAACAUUCCAAGUAAAACCUUGAAUCACUGGGUGGGGUGUAAAGUAGUCAAGACCUCAAGUCGUCUUCACUCCUGGUCAAUCAAGGAUUAAGUAAUUUGCCACCAUUCCCAUAACAUCAAACCUAUUAAAUAAUCUCCAUGUAAAAAUAAUUUAUGGUAUUGGUUAUAAGUUGUUUGUUGAAUGGAAUGAUUAGGUUGGAUUUCGUUUGAGAGGGGAUGCUCUUGGGUUGUUCAAUGAUGAUGAUGAUGUCUCGAAUGCCUUUGAACUCCUCUUAGGGUUGAUGAUGGAUAAACACCAACAACCAACCCCACUCACCCAUACCCUUUCGUUUUCCUCUACCUUCUCGUUAACCUCCAACAUCAUUAAUCUCCUACUGUCCUACAACCAUCACCAAUAACCACCUGGACCAAAACAAAAUCAAAACUAAAAAGUGAAACCUCUAGAAAUCAAAAUGUAACCAAUGUCAAUUCAUAUAAUCAUGAAAUCAGAAUCUUAAAUGAUAUCAAAACUAAUGUUUGGGAAGAAUGAAUGGUUUGGAGAAAAAGUCAUAAAUAUGAAGAUAUAUUUUGAAAACAAAUGCAAAUUAUCUUUCAAUCUAUGGAUUUGGGGUAUCGACAAUUUAUGGAGAAAUCAGUCCGUAAGUAUCAGAUCCCCAAAAUGGUAAACUAAACAGAUCAUAACAAUCCAAAAAAGAAUCUUAAAAUUGCAAUUCAUACGAAAAACUGUGAUAUGAUAAAAUCAACAGAAAACAGAAGAACUCACAUCAUGUUGUCUCUGAAUGGCCCUUGGUCUAUUUUGGCCUCCGAGAGGCUUUAAUCCGGUCAACAAGAACACAUCCUCUUUGAUCUCACUAGGCAAAAUGGAAUCAAACACUUAUGUUAUUGUUGGUAUGCACUUCUGAUAAUUGUUUGUUGAUGUUAGUCUCGUAAGAAGUUUUAAUCUCCUGCAAUCGUGAUGAGAUCUUCGGCAGGCCCCUAAGUCAAUAAACCAUAUGAAUUGUUAUAGAUCUAUUCCAACCAUCUUCGGAGAGUGAGAAACAGAGGAAAAAUGCAAAUAACGAUACCGCCUAUCUCAAAUGUGAAUCUGAGAAAAUAAUGCAUAUCAGAUUUUAAGUUCCCAAUUUACUCCAGUUAUACGAUGUGAGAGAGAGAGCGAGAAUGCAAACGAGGGUGGAUCCGGGGUACGAGGGAGGAGGGAGAAGUGUGGAUGGUGGUGGCUUCAGGCGGCAUCGGUGGCUUCAGGCAACAUUGUACGAUUGUGUUGAACUGAUGUAAAGAGGGAGAUGCAGGUGGUUAAUUUUGAAAUUGAGAAUAAUCGAAUGCAAAUAAUGGCUUGCACAACAAGCAGAAUCUCUUCUUCCCCUCUAGUCUCAAACACCAUCUCCAAACCUUCAACCAAUUUGAUCAAUUUGUAAAUCAAGAACAAACUGGAACUGAUUUUGAAAUUAACAGAUGAUUUACAGAUGAAAGAAAAAAAAUCGAUUGAUUAAGAAAACUAAAUCGAUGAUAAAAUUCGUUUUACAUUUUCUGGAAAUCGAUGAUCAGACGCAAAAAAACGAAGCCGGUGCGUUGUAUCCGGAGAGGCUGAGAUGUGUGUGUUGUAGUCGGAGGCGGAGAAGUCGGUGGAAACACUGUAGAUGGUGUCAGGGUGCCGGUCGGAGAUCGAUGCUUCAUCCAUUCAGAGUUCACAAGAGCAUGAGGGAGACGGUGGCUAGGGAAAAAUCCAUACACGAAAGAGAUAUGUGGGUUUCUUUUCGAGUUCAGGCGGUCACAGAUGGGAAGGAGACUAAUACUUGAACAUGGAGGACGCCGACUGGUGGAGAUGUAGGCUACCGAUCAAGGGAGCUGUUUGUUGUUUUAUGGGUU